This 492-nucleotide ribosomal RNA is filed under the name uncultured bacterium. RNAcentral describes it as "partial 16S ribosomal RNA". It matches the Rfam family "Bacterial small subunit ribosomal RNA", at positions 29 to 507 of the family's 1533-position model. The record is from RNAcentral.
AGUGAACGCUGGCGGUAGGCCUAACACAUGCCAGUCGAACGGCAGCACAGUAAGAGCUUGCUCUUACGGGUGGCGAGUGGCGGACGGGUGAGGAAUACAUCGGAAUCUACUUUUUCGUGGGGGAUAACGUAGGGAAACUUACGCUAAUACCGCAUACGACCUACGGGUGAAAGCAGGGGAUCUUCGGACCUUGCGCGAUUGAAUGAGCCGAUGUCGGAUUAGCUAGUUGGCGGGGUAAAGGCCCACCAAGGCGACGAUCCGUAGCUGGUCUGAGAGGAUGAUCAGCCACACUGGAACUGAGACACGGUCCAGACUCCUACGGGAGGCAGCAGUGGGGAAUAUUGGACAAUGGGCGCAAGCCUGAUCCAGCCAUACCGCGUGGGUGAAGAAGGCCUUCGGGUUGUAAAGCCCUUUUGUUGGGAAAGAAAAGCAGCAGGUUAAUACCCAGCUGUUCUGACGGUACCCAAAGAAUAAGCACCGGCUAACUUCGUG